RNAcentral lists this ribosomal RNA (2255 nucleotides) under Legionella pneumophila. Its description in RNAcentral is "partial 23S ribosomal RNA". It matches the Rfam family "Bacterial large subunit ribosomal RNA", at positions 1 to 2269 of the family's 2925-position model. Lineage: Bacteria; Pseudomonadati; Pseudomonadota; Gammaproteobacteria; Legionellales; Legionellaceae. The record is from RNAcentral.
UUAUAUGGUCAAGAAGAGAAGCGCAAACGGUGGAUGCCUUGGCAGUAAGAGGCGAAGAAGGACGUGGAAUCCUGCGAAAAGCUAUGGGGAGCUGGAAACGAGCGUUGAGCCAUAGAUGUCCGAAUGGGGGAACCCGGCUGCAGCGAUGCGGUCAUUUGCAUUUGAAUACAUAGGAUGCAAAGGCGAACUCGGGGAACUGAAACAUCUAAGUACCCGAAGGAAAAGAAAUCAAGAGAGAUUCUCCAAGUAGCGGCGAGCGAACGGGGAGGAGCCUGGCGUGAUUUAUUAUUGAACUGAGUAGAACAAUUUGGGAAAGUUGGCCGAAGAGGGUGAAAGCCCCGUAUACGAAGGUUUGAUGAGGAACUAGGCACGCGAACAAGUAGGCCGGGACACGUGAAAUCCUGGUUGAAGAUGGGUGGACCAUCAUCCAAGGCUAAAUACUACUUACUGACCGAUAGUGAACCAGUACCGUGAGGGAAAGGUGAAAAGAACCCCGGAGAGGGGAGUGAAAUAGAAUCUGAAACCGUUUGCGUACAAGCAGUGGGAGCAUGGUUUAGGCUGUGUGACUGCGUACCUUUUGUAUAAUGGGUCAGCGAGUUACUUUCAGUGGCGAGGUUAACUGAAUAAGGGAGCCGUAGAGAAAUCGAGUCUGAAUAGGGCGAUAGUCGCUGGGAGUAGACCCGAAACCGGGCGAUCUAGCCAUGUGCAGGAUGAAGGUUGGGUAACACCAACUGGAGGUCCGAACCGGGUAAUGUUGAAAAAUUAUCGGAUGACGUGUGGCUAGGAGUGAAAGGCUAAUCAAGCCCGGAGAUAGCUGGUUCUCCCCGAAAGCUAUUUAGGUAGCGCCUCGUGAAUGAUUACUGGGGGUAGAGCACUGUUUCGGCUAGGGGGCUGUCAUGGCUUACCAAACCGAUGCAAACUCCGAAUACCGGCUAAUUGAAUCACGGGAGACACACGGCGGGUGCUAACGUCCGUCGUGGAGAGGGAAACAACCCAGACCGCCAGCUAAGGUCCCCAAGUACUAGUUAAGUGGGAAACGAUGUGGGAAGGCAUAGACAGCCAGGAGGUUGGCUUAGAAGCAGCCACCCUUUAAAGAAAGCGUAAUAGCUCACUGGUCGAGUCGGCCUGCGCGGAAGAUGUAACGGGGCUAAAACUAGUCACCGAAGCUGCGGAUGUGCGCGAAGGCGCACGUGGUAGGGGAGCGUUCUGUAGGCUGAUGAAGGUGCAUUGAGAAGUGUGCUGGAGGUAUCAGAAGUGCGAAUGCUGACAUGAGUAACGAUAAUGUGGGUGAAAAGCCCACACGCCGGAAGUCCCAGGUUUCCUGCACGACGUUAAUCGGAGCAGGGUGAGUCGGCCCCUAAGGCGAGGCUGAAGAGCGUAGUCGAUGGGAACCAGGUUAAUAUUCCUGGACUUUUUAUAAGUGGUGAAGUGGGGACGAAGAAGGCUAGGUGAGCCAGGCGUUGGUUGUCCUGGUACUUGCAUGUAGGGGGGAAGACUUGGCAAAUCCGGUUUUCCAUAACUCUGAGGUGCGAAGUGGUUCUGACCUUUUGGUACAGAGAAGUCAUUGAUGCCCGGCUUCCAGGAAAAGCUGCUAGCCAUAACUUAUAGAGAACCGUACCGCAAACCGACACAGGUGGACAGGUAGAGAAUACUAAGGCGCUUGAGAGAACUCGGGUGAAGGAACUAGGCAAAAUGGUACCGUAACUUCGGGAGAAGGUACGCCCUUUCUGGUGAUGGGAUUUACUUUCAGAGCUGGAGAGGGCCGCAGAGACCAGGUGGCUGCGACUGUUUAUUAAAAACACAGCACUCUGCAAAUUCGUAAGAAGACGUAUAGGGUGUGACGCCUGCCCGGUGCCGGAAGGUUAAUUGAUGGGGUUAUCUUCGGAGAAGCUCUUGAUCGAAGCCCCGGUAAACGGCGGCCGUAACUAUAACGGUCCUAAGGUAGCGAAAUUCCUUGUCGGGUAAGUUCCGACCUGCACGAAUGGCGUAACGAUGGCCACACUGUCUCCACCCGAGACUCAGUGAAAUUGAAAUCGCUGUGAAGAUGCAGUGUACCCGCGGCUAGACGGAAAGACCCCGUGAACCUUUACUAUAGUUUUGCACUGGACUUUGAUGAUGACUGUGUAGGAUAGGUGGGAGGCUGUGAAGUGAGGACGCUAGUUCUCAUGGAGCCGCCCUUGAAAUACCACCCUGUUGUUAUUGAGGUUCUAACUUGGUCCAGUAAUCCUGGAUGAGGACAGUGUAUGAUGGGUAGU